RNAcentral lists this ribosomal RNA (424 nucleotides) under uncultured bacterium. RNAcentral describes it as "partial 16S ribosomal RNA". It matches the Rfam family "Bacterial small subunit ribosomal RNA", at positions 354 to 796 of the family's 1533-position model. The record is from RNAcentral.
GUGGGGAAUAUUGCACAAUGGGCGAAAGCCUGAUGCAGCAACGCCGCGUGAAGGAAGAAGGCCCUUGGGUCGUAAACUUCUGUUCUAAGGGAAGAUAAUGACGGUACCUUAGGAGCAAGUCCCGGCUAACUACGAGCCAGCAGCCGCGGUAAUACGUAGGGGGCGAGCGUUAUCCGGAAUUAUUGGGCGUAAAGAGUAAGUCGGUGGUUAUCUACGCGAGGGGUUUAAGGCAAUAGCUCAACUAUUGUUUGCCCCGCGAACUGGGUGACUUGAGUGCUGGAGAGGAAAGCGGAAUUCCUAGUGUAGCGGUGAAAUGCGUAGAUAUUAGGAGGAACAUCAGUGGCGAAGGCGGCUUUCUGGACAGUAACUGACACUGAGGUACGAAAGUGUGGGGAGCAAACAGGAUUAGAAACCCCUGUAGUCC